GGGUUGUGAGGUUAAGCGACUAAGCGUACACGGUGGAUGCCCUGGCAGUCAGAGGCGAUGAAGGGCGUGCUAAUCUGCGAUAAGCGCCGGUAAGGUGAUAUGAACCGUUAUAACCGGCGAUACCCGAAUGGGGAAACCCAGUGUGAUUCGUCACACUAUCAUUAACUGAAUCCAUAGGUUAAUGA
This 185-nucleotide ribosomal RNA is filed under the name Salmonella enterica. RNAcentral's name for it is "partial 23S ribosomal RNA". It matches the Rfam family "Bacterial large subunit ribosomal RNA", at positions 1 to 177 of the family's 2925-position model. Lineage: Bacteria; Pseudomonadati; Pseudomonadota; Gammaproteobacteria; Enterobacterales; Enterobacteriaceae. RNAcentral also lists the same sequence under 4 other names. The record is from RNAcentral.